Non-coding RNA from Prunus avium (sweet cherry), 1551 nucleotides. Lineage: Eukaryota; Viridiplantae; Streptophyta; Magnoliopsida; Rosales; Rosaceae. The record is from RefSeq and is a predicted model, not a curated record.
CGGCAGUUCUGCCCAAAAAAGCCCAGAAAUAACAAGUCCUUGGCUCUUGGGAAAGUAAGUCGUAGUCUAUUAUAUCAGCAAAAACAAUUUCCAAAUUUCAGAGUCCAUGGCCGAUAAAUCUACCAACAAUAUUGAGUUGAAGGUCUUAGUGGACAGGAGGAGUAACAAAGUUAUCUUCAUAGAGCCUGAGAAUGAUUUUCUUGAUGUUCUCUUCAGUUUCAUUACAAUCCCCAUGGGAACAAUUAUCAGGCUUGCACGUAAACAUUCAGAUCCUGUGGUAAUAGGUUGCAUGAACAACUUGUAUGCAAGUGUCGAGAAUAUUGAUGAACAAAAAUUUUGGAUUGACAUAUGUAAGGACAUGUUACUGCAUCCCCGCAACGCAGCCGAUUCUCAUUGCAAUGACCUCAAUUUGAAACUUGAUGAUACUGAGCCAAGACGCUACUUUAUGUGCCCCAAUUUAUGUAAGGUCUUAAGUUAUUACUGUACCUACUGUCCUUCGUGUUUAUUAAUCAUGAAUAUGGAGAAGAGUCUUUCGUUGCGCGCUUCAGAAGACGGAAGUGUCUUUGUGAAAGGACAAACCAGCUUUACAGUUACUGAUGAUUUACAAGUGAUCCCCCCAAAUUCAUCAGCCAAUUCUGUAUUUACUAAGCUUGGUCUCAUGGAUGUGGAUGCUACUGAGGAGUUGACCAUCAACAUUGGAACUGUUGAGAUUUUGAAUUUGCUCAUGUGCUCCUUAGUGUCAAAAACAGCUUUGACUGAAACCCUGUUGAAGCCUCAACAAGAUCUUAAAUCGAGGAGUACAGUUCUUAAUCAAGCAAUACAUACUGAAUCGCAAAUGUCCAGAGACUCAAUGAAUGAUGAAGAAGAUAAGAUUUCUUUGAAUCUUGUGGUCAGCAAAUCUAAGAAGAUGGUCUGUUACGCAGAAGCGGGGGAGGAUUUUGUUAAUUUGCUCUUCAGUUUCCUAACUCUACCUCUUGGGUUUCUGUUCCAUGAAUAAUUUGCUCUUCGGUUUCUGUUCCAUGGAUUUAAAUGCUCAAGGAUUUCUGAAGAGACCUUCGAUGUUUGUAGUAACUGACAAUCUGGUUGUAAGACCGAUGUCUCGGAUCUUUGAGCUGCAAGUUCUUACAGACUUGAAUGUGCAUGUCACUGACAUUGAGGAUCAAAUUGUGCAUGUGGGCAAGAACGAGGUAGAGGAGAUAAUUCAAGUGGAGAAUGGUGAAACAAGUACUCCAAAAAAGAAAGUGACACAAUUAAAAGCACCAUAUGCAGGGAUGGUAUUUAACACAAUGGAAGAAGCAAGAAACUAUUAUGAAGAGUAUGGCCGGCAAGAAGGAUUCUGGAUUAGAACUCGAUCUUCCUCCAAGACAAGAAGGCGUUUAGAUGAGGUAACGAGUAGACAAUUUGUUUGUGCACAUGAAGGAAAAUACGUGCCCAAAAAUACAUCACAGAAGGCUUCAGAAGAGAAUGAUGAGAGAAACUUAAGUGAGAUUGAGAAUAUGAAGAGAACGGGUAAAAAUUGUUCUACGGUGAAAUGUGGAUGCAAAGCAAGUA